RNAcentral lists this ribosomal RNA (276 nucleotides) under uncultured prokaryote. Its description in RNAcentral is "partial 16S ribosomal RNA". It matches the Rfam family "Bacterial small subunit ribosomal RNA", at positions 524 to 800 of the family's 1533-position model. The record is from RNAcentral.
UACGUAGGGGCAAGCGUUAUCCGGAUUUACUGGGUGUAAAGGGAGCGUAGACGGCAAUGCAAGUCUGAUGUGAAAACCCGGGGCUCAACCGCGGGAUUGCAUUGGAAACUGUAUAGCUCGAGUACUGGAGGGGCAGGCGGAAUUCCUAGUGUAGCGGUGAAAUGCGUAGAUAUUAGGAGGAACACCGGUGGCGAAGGCGGCUUUCUGGACAGUAACUGACGCUGAGGCGCGAAAGCGUGGGGAGCAAACAGGAUUAGAUACCCCUGUAGUCCCUGA